AGCGAACGCUGGCGGCGGGCUUAACACAUGCAAGUCGAGCGGGCAUAGCAAUAUGUCAGCGGCAGACGGGUGAGUAACGCGUGGGAACGUACCUUUUGGUUCGGAACAACUGAGGGAAACUUCAGCUAAUACCGGAUAAGCCCUUACGGGGAAAGAUUUAUCGCCGAAAGAUCGGCCCGCGUCUGAUUAGCUAGUUGGUGAGGUAAUGGCUCACCAAGGCGACGAUCAGUAGCUGGUCUGAGAGGAUGAUCAGCCACAUUGGGACUGAGACACGGCCCAAACUCCUACGGGAGGCAGCAGUGGGGAAUAUUGGACAAUGGGCGCAAGCCUGAUCCAGCCAUGCCGCGUGAGUGAUGAAGGCCCUAGGGUUGUAAAGCUCUUUUGUGCGGGAAGAUAAUGACGGUACCGCAAGAAUAAGCCCCGGCUAACUUCGUGCCAGCAGCCGCCGUAA
RNAcentral lists this ribosomal RNA (451 nucleotides) under uncultured bacterium. RNAcentral's name for it is "partial 16S ribosomal RNA". It matches the Rfam family "Bacterial small subunit ribosomal RNA", at positions 29 to 523 of the family's 1533-position model. The record is from RNAcentral.